CGGCGAACGGGUGAGUAACACGUGAGUAAUCUGCCCUCGGCACCGGGAUAGCCCGGGGAAACCCGGAUUAAUACCGGAUGGCCCACCAGCCCCUCGGGGCGGUUGGAAAAGGUAGCUUCGGCCUCCGGCCGAGGAGGAGCUCGCGGCGGAUUAGCUUGUUGGCGGGUAACGGCCCACCAAGGCGACGAUCCGUAGCUGGUCUGAGAGGACGAUCAGCCACACUGGGACUGAGACACGGCCCAG
This 243-nucleotide ribosomal RNA is filed under the name uncultured bacterium. Its description in RNAcentral is "partial 16S ribosomal RNA". It matches the Rfam family "Bacterial small subunit ribosomal RNA", at positions 96 to 334 of the family's 1533-position model. The record is from RNAcentral.